Molecule: non-coding RNA, 98 nt
Filed under: Fretibacterium fastidiosum
Lineage: Bacteria; Thermotogati; Synergistota; Synergistia; Synergistales; Aminobacteriaceae
Also listed under: 1 other name
Description: Synergistetes bacterium SGP1 SAM riboswitch aptamer (S box leader)
Rfam family: SAM riboswitch aptamer (S box leader)
About the family: The SAM riboswitch is found upstream of a number of genes which code for proteins involved in methionine or cysteine biosynthesis in Gram-positive bacteria. The SAM riboswitch acts at the level of transcription termination control.
Source: Rfam by way of RNAcentral
CUCUUAUCAAGAGAGGUGGAGGGACUGGCCCGAUGAAGCCCGGCAACCUGUCGAAUCAGGUGCCAAUACCAGCAGCCCGCAGGGCUGGAUGAUGAGAG